GAUGACUGCAAGGACCUUGCCAUCAAACCACUGAGAAGGUUUGAAGAAGGAAUAAAGAUAGAAGGGUGGAAAGUGGCACAUCUUCCAAAAGCCAAUCACUGAGACAACAAGCACUGCCAGGGAAGAAACUUUCAUCAAGGUGCUGCAGCCAAGGAGAAGGGGAGGCUUUUCCUUAGGUUUUGCCGUGGAGUCCUUUUUUCCCUUCCUUUCUUUCCCCAGUGUACACUCGAAGGUUUGCAAUGCUUCACGCUUGAAGACUUGAGAAAAACUGAGUCAAUUCAAUCUGACCGACUUCAUAGUCACUGGCUUCAUGUGCAUUUGCUUGCUGUGAAAAGAAAAGCAUGUGAAGAAAAAUAUAUUGCCACUGAAUGAAUGGAUCUGUCUCAAAUAUAAUUGCUCAUUUUUACCUGUCCCUUAUGUACAAACUCUUUCCAGCCACAGCUCUUCCGAAUGGGCCGCACCCUCCAGGCCACUUCAGUGCUACACGCGGCCACACCAGCAACAUUUUGCCAAUGCCAGUGUCCUGGGUCUCUUCUCGAUUCCCUGAGAUUCCUGGAGCUGCUCACAAGGCUUGAGGCCCUGGGCUCUUGGCAGCUGAAACAAAACCUGAGAGAAACUCACUGGGUUUUGCAAUCAAUGUGCUGAAACAUCUCCAGCAAGGAGCCACAUCAUCCCAUUUCUGGUCACGCAGAUGCUGGAGCUACUGGGCUCCUGCCCCGGGUUGAUGGUCUUAGAGAACUUGAGAUCAGAUUCUGGUCCAGAGGGAAGAGCAGAUUCAGUUUCCUGAGAAGAAACCAGGAAGCAGUGGCUAGCCUCAUAUUUUCUGGAGCAAUCCUGCUUUUGAGCAUUCUUAUUUUGUGGUCUACAAGAAUUAUUUUGUCCAUAUUAGAGCAUGUGGCAGGGUGGGCAUGGGGAGGUGGAGAGGUUGGGGAAGAUGUAGGUGUAGCAACUGACAGAAACUGAUGUUGGGGAACUGUUCUGGGGAGGCCACUGUCACUAUCAGGAUACUGUGUUAUUAAGAGGGCCACUGACAGGAACGGAAGUUAAGUCUGGUUUAUCUGUUUAGCCCAUUCUCAGUCUUGUCAGCUAAACAGAAAUCAGGGCUCUGGUGUGUUGGUGGAGGAAGAAGAAUGGGAGGAUCUGGAGCUGGCAAUACACAUGAGGGCCUGAAGCUUUGGCAGCAUUGCAAUGGGUGUGAUGCAGAACCAGAGGCUUUCAGGUGGCACUGGGGAGCUGGGAUGGAGGUUAAGGGAGAAAGGAAGACCCAACAAAAGGAACGAGUAGGAGAAACUUUGCCUAUUCCACUGUUUUGUUUAGGCCAACCUUAAUCCCUGGGAUUUAACUUCUGAAUAAUGAGUUUAAAAAGAACAAAUAAUAUAUGAAGAUACUGAUGCCAAUGAUGUGGCACAUUGCUAGGGCCUUGGGUCAGUUCCUAGCAGUUUUGCUAGCAUGCAUGUUAGCAGGUGACAGGAUAACCACCGUGACCCCAGAGGGUUUUGACAAUCUGGACCUAAUCUGUCUUUCUCAAUUCAUCUUUGUUUACUUUCCCAUCAACCCAUGCUCUUGUCUUUCUGAAUUCUUCCCCAUUGCCAGACACCCUGCAUUUAUACCGCUGUGCUGGGAGUAUUCUCACUGCUUGGUAGACAACCAUUUCUCUCUAUUCUCUGGAAAAUUCUUAUUAUCUAUUCUUCACAUUCCCUUUUGAGUUCCUUUUAUAUGAUCUUUUCUAGCUCUCUAGAUAAAAUUAAUCUUAUCCCUCUCUGAACUUUUGUUUUUAUUAUAUUAUAACAUAUGUAGAAUUAUAACUCUUUCAUCCUUGGUGUCUCUCUGCUAGAUCAUGUAUGCUUUAAGGGAGGAGACCAAAGUUAAAUCGAGUUGCCUUGCCUAGCAUUAAACUAAAUGAAUGUCUGAGAUAUGCGGUACUCUCUCAGUAUUUGGUAGGUGUUUCUAAAAGGGAAAGAGAAUGGGAGUAGAGAAGCUCUGUCUCUGCUAUCAGUGUUAUGUGUUGGUAUAAACAUGUGUUCAUUUAAACACACACACACACACACACACACACAGAAAUAUAGAAGUAUUAAUACUUACUCUGUGCCAGUUCCUGUGCUAAGAAAUUGUACAUGGAUGUUUGUAUUUAAUCCUCACAAGGGUCUCUAAUGCAGAUAACGGUAUUAUCUCUAUUUUAGAAGUGAGGAAAUAGAAACAAGUAAGGGUUUAAGUGAUUUAUUAUCCAAGGUCACAUAGGUCACAUAGCAUCGAUUCAAAUUCAGUCUAACUCCAGAGCCCAAGACUUCAUCUGUUAUUAUUAAUUACCUCCGUUUGUCGCAUCUCAGUGGAAACCGUCUCUCUUUUUUUAGCUGCUUGACUCCCACUUUAGGAGCUGAAAACUCCACACAUUUUUUAGCCUCCCUUGCAGCUAGGAUGCAGGUAUGUGACCCAGGCUUGACUAAAUGGAUGUACCUGCUAUUGCCUUUGAACUGGGAGCUGGUAACAGAUAGAAUCAGAGACAGCAGCAAAUCCAGAGGCACGGAGGUGGAGCAGCACAUUCAAAGUCCUGUGUCUGUGGCUGCCAGUCAACCUGUGAUAUCUGUGUUUAGCGUGAGGGGAGUGAUGGUGGUUUCCCCAUUAGAUGGGUUAAGUGGUGUGAUUUUAGUUGUCCACCUGCUGCCUAGCUUCCCUUGUCUGGCCUCCUUUUCUAAGCCUGGUUCCAACACUGUUGAAAUGCCUUGAGCUAUUGAACAACACAGCAACACAUGCUUUUCUCUGCUUAAAUCAGCUAGAGUUAUUUUCUGUUGCUUGCGGUAAACAACUCUGACUGGUAUAAUAUCCAAACUCAUUAUCUUGAAUAUAAGACUCUCACAUACAUUAUUCUUACCUGGAAGAAAAAAAACACACAAGUAACCAGAAUUUUGUGAAUGUUCAACAGAGCAGAGGGUGAAUGUGACAGAUUGUGUAUCAUUAGGAACAAUUUCUAGUUUAUCCAUCUGACUACUUACUUAUGAUUCAUAUGGCAAUUUGCAUGGAUGGUUAUAGGACUUUUUAGUAUAUUCUUACAAAACUCACGUCCAAAAAAGGACUUUUACCUUCCAGUAUAAUCUGACUCUGGGCUUUAUAAAUUUCAUAAUAAAUUUUCCCUUUGAAUGAUCAGAAAGAAAAAUGCUAAAUAUCUUUCUGGCUCAUUAUAGGCAAAAUGGCUUCCUGAAAUUGUAGUAGUUAAAAAAUAAGAUCACAGAGGAAGUUGAAUUGCUGAAUUAUUUAAUGUAAGCUGACUCAUUAGAGCCUUAGCUUCUGAGAUGGAAGAAAAUAUGAUAGUUUACAUAAAGGUUACUGAUAAAUUCCAAGAUGAAAUUCACUUU
Molecule: long non-coding RNA, 3350 nt
Filed under: Homo sapiens (human)
Lineage: Eukaryota; Metazoa; Chordata; Mammalia; Primates; Hominidae
Description: HSALNT0303271
Source: RNAcentral